AUAUGGGUGCCAGAGUUAGUAUGGGUUGGUUUUAAGCACCAAACAGGGGCUAUUGCCCCCCGUAUA
This 66-nucleotide transfer RNA is filed under the name Holostephanus sp. FJ-2023. RNAcentral's name for it is "tRNA-Leu". The record is from RNAcentral. Lineage: Eukaryota; Metazoa; Platyhelminthes; Trematoda; Diplostomida; Cyathocotylidae.